RNAcentral lists this small RNA (562 nucleotides) under Pongo abelii (Sumatran orangutan). RNAcentral describes it as "processed transcript". The record is from RNAcentral. Lineage: Eukaryota; Metazoa; Chordata; Mammalia; Primates; Hominidae.
GAGCUUCCCAGGCGCGCGGGCUGCGAGGUUAUUAGAGGUGGAGCGCGGGGAGGGCGCGCGGCGGGAGGCGGCCGCCGUUACGGCGCGAGCGUGGUCACGUGGCCGCUGGUCACCGCCGCCACCCCCUCCCGCCCUGUUCUCUUUCAGGUCGGGCCGGGCCCGGCCGCUUCCGCGAGCGCCCGGCAGACUGAGGGAGAGAGAAAGAGGAGGGGAGGAGGAGGAGGAUUCAGGGAAUAGGAGCUGGGGAGCCCUUCUGCGCCACAGUGAUAUCAGUAUCAAGAUAAAAGUUUGGAAUGGGAGAAAAAUUCUCAAAGCCUGAAAGAAAAUCUGAGAUGCUUGGAGUGUAAAGAUCCCAUGGUCACAUAAAUCCGGAAAGCACUGAAUACUUUGUUUCCCAUAAGAGAAUCCCAUUAUAUGUUGAUGUAUUAAAAGACCUGAGAACCUGGUACUUGUGUUUGGAGAACUCUAUUGUACUGAGCCUAAGUCAUUUUUGAUCUAUAACAAGAACAUGCAUUUUCACAUGUCAACCGGAUUUGUGGACCAGUAAAGUUCUUUCACGAGG